CGCCAGGGGAUUACGAGCGAUGCUUAAAACCCAAAGGAUUUGACGGUGUCCCACCCCACUAGAGGAGCCUGUUCUAUAAUCGAUGACCCCCGCUUCACCUGACCAUCCCUCGCCAUCAGUCUGUAUACCUCCGUCGAAAGCUUACCAUGUGAACGCCCGCAGUAGGCUUAAUGAUCUAUCAUCAACACGUCAGGUCAAGGUGCAGCUCAAGGAAUGGAAAGUAAUGGGCUACAAUUUCUAACUUAGAACAAACGAAAGACUAUGUGAAACCCCUAGUCAUGAAGGUGGAUUUAGUAGUAAAAAGAAAGUAGAGUGUUCUUUUUAACCCGGCC
This 332-nucleotide ribosomal RNA is filed under the name Rana latastei. RNAcentral describes it as "partial 12S ribosomal RNA". It matches the Rfam family "Bacterial small subunit ribosomal RNA", at positions 870 to 1373 of the family's 1533-position model. Lineage: Eukaryota; Metazoa; Chordata; Amphibia; Anura; Ranidae. The record is from RNAcentral.